This 579-nucleotide ribosomal RNA is filed under the name uncultured bacterium. Its description in RNAcentral is "partial 16S ribosomal RNA". It matches the Rfam family "Bacterial small subunit ribosomal RNA", at positions 355 to 922 of the family's 1533-position model. The record is from RNAcentral.
UGGGGAAUAUUGGACAAUGGGCGCAAGCCUGAUCCAGCAAUGCCGCGUGUGUGAAGAAGGCCUUCGGGUUGUAAAGCACUUUUAUCAGGAGCGAAACGCUGUCGGCUAAUACCCGGCGGAACUGACGGUACCUGAGGAAUAAGCACCGGCUAACUUCGUGCCAGCAGCCGCGGUAAUACGAAGGGUGCAAGCGUUAAUCGGAAUUACUGGGCGUAAAGCGUGCGUAGGCGGUUUCUUAAGUCUGCUGUGAAAUCCCCGGGCUCAACCUGGGAAUGGCAGUGGAUACUGGGAGGCUAGAGUGUGUCAGAGGGUGGUGGAAUUCCCGGUGUAGCGGUGAAAUGCGUAGAGAUCGGGAGGAACAUCAGUGGCGAAGGCGGCCACCUGGGACAACACUGACGCUGAGGCACGAAAAGCGUGGGGAGCAAACAGGAUUAGGAUACCCUGGUAGUCCACGCCCUAAAACGAUGCGAACUGGAUGUUGGUCUCAACUCGGAGAUCAGUGUCGAAGCUAACGCGUUAAGUUCGCCGCCUGGGGAGUACGGUCGCAAGACUGAAACUCAAAGGAAUUGACGGGGUCAU